AUGAACGCUGGCGGCGUGCCUAAUACAUGCAAGUCGAGCGAACAGAUGAGGAGCUUGCUCCUCUGACGUUAGCGGCGGACGGGUGAGUAACACGUGGAUAACCUACCUAUAAGACUGGGAUAACUUCGGGAAACCGGAGCUAAUACCGGAUAAUAUAUUGAACCGCAUGGUUCAAUAGUGAAAGACGGUUUUGCUGUCACUUAUAGAUGGAUCCGCGCCGCAUUAGCUAGUUGGUAAGGUAACGGCUUACCAAGGCAACGAUGCGUAGCCGACCUGAGAGGGUGAUCGGCCACCCUGGAACUGAGACACGGUCCAGACUCCUACGGGAGGCAGCAGUAGGGAAUCUUCCGCAAAGGGCGAAAGCCUGACGGAGCAACGCCGCGUGAUUGAUGAAGGUCUUCGGAUCGUAAAACUCUGUUAUUAGGGAAGAACAAAUGUGUAAGUAACUAUGCACGUCUUGACGGUACCUAAUCAGAAAGCCACGGCUAACUACGUG
Molecule: ribosomal RNA, 496 nt
Filed under: uncultured bacterium
Lineage: Bacteria
Description: partial 16S ribosomal RNA
Rfam family: Bacterial small subunit ribosomal RNA
Source: RNAcentral